Molecule: long non-coding RNA, 344 nt
Filed under: Elaeis guineensis (African oil palm)
Lineage: Eukaryota; Viridiplantae; Streptophyta; Magnoliopsida; Arecales; Arecaceae
Description: long non-coding RNA (EGUI_LNC028115)
Source: RNAcentral
UCUUUUGGAUUCUUCUAGAGCUUAGGAUUUCAUAUUAUUUUCAGCAUAAAAAAUUAGAUUAGAUCUAAUUUUUAUCAUAAAAAAUUAGAAAAAAAAAUUCUUAAAGGUGUGAAAGGAACAGAGAAAGAUUCUCUUUUGUGCAUGGGAGAAUUGAGAAGAAAAGAUUCUUCUCUUGAUCUCUAUCAUAGAGAUCUAAUACGUGGAUCUAGAAAGAAUAGGAUAGGAUCUUCUUAUUAUUCAUCUUCUUCAUAUUUUUCUUAGAUCCACCAACAACAUGAUAUCUUUGCGAGCUAGUACUCCCGAAAAGAUCGAUCAGCAUAAGGACUUUGUGUGGAUUCGCAUAG